CAGUGUUACCAGCCCUACCUGAAAACACCUAUUUGGAAACUGGUCUUUUCAUGUUUUUUCACAGUGGCCACAACAGAGACAAGCUUCUUGGAGAUAAUGGUUGCAGGUGAAGGUCCACCUAACUGGUGGUUGUCUGAAUCCAAUGAAAUGAUCCCCAGGUCUUGUGAAGCUGCCACCUGAACACUAUUUUUGGGGACUGAUCCAUGAGUUGUGAGACUUGCUCCUGCACAGACCAGGAACAAGAUGGAGCACAGCAAUGCUGCUGCACAUUAACCUGCCACCGAAUCCUUGAGGAGGGUUUGCAGCCUCUCUCGGGACUGCAUCUGACAAUAGAGUGACUGCAUCUGACAAAAAGAGUGACAGAAGUUCUUGAUGAGAAAGGAGGAACUUCCUGACACAUUCAAAUCUCCAUCCUAUGCCCUGCUAAUGUUUUGCUGCUGUACAUUUAAAUCAGUGUGAUAUGGCUCCUUGGAACCAAUUCUUUGAGUGUCACUUUUGUGCUGAAGAAAAUCACCUCUCC
RNAcentral lists this long non-coding RNA (520 nucleotides) under Struthio camelus australis. RNAcentral's name for it is "lncRNA (ENSSCUG00000018712.1)". The record is from RNAcentral. Lineage: Eukaryota; Metazoa; Chordata; Aves; Struthioniformes; Struthionidae.